CUCAAAUUUGCAAAAAUACCUCGGAUGACACCCCUGAAGCAACCUUACAGCAGUCCAGGAACCUCCAAACAAGGACAGAGAAUUAUGCUGAACAGUGCCAUUCAGAGACAGAGAAUUCCGCUGAACAGUGCCAUUCAGAGACUUUGUCACAGACAGAUGAAUCGACAACAUAUACUUUGUCACAAGAAU
Molecule: long non-coding RNA, 189 nt
Organism: Magallana angulata
Lineage: Eukaryota; Metazoa; Mollusca; Bivalvia; Ostreida; Ostreidae
Exons: 3
Source: RefSeq, a predicted model, not a curated record